Molecule: ribosomal RNA, 492 nt
Filed under: uncultured bacterium
Lineage: Bacteria
Description: partial 16S ribosomal RNA
Rfam family: Bacterial small subunit ribosomal RNA
Source: RNAcentral
AGUGAACGCUGGCGGUAGGCCUAACACAUGCAAGUCGAACGGCAGCACAGUAAGAGCUUGCUCUUACGGUUGGCGAGGGACGGACGGGUGAGGAAUACAUCGGAAUCUACUUUUUCGUGGGGAAUAUCGUAGGAAAACUUCCGCUAAUACCGCAUACGACCUACGGGUGAAAUCAGGGGAGCUUCGGACCUUGCGCGAUUGAAUGAGCCGAUGUCGGAUUAGCUAGUUGGCGGGGUAAAGGCCCACCAAGGCGACGAUCCGUAGCUGGCCUGAGAGGAUGAUCAGCCACACUGGAACUGAGACACGGUCCAGACUCCUACGGGAGGCAGCAGUGGGGAAUAUUGGACAAUGGGCGCAAGCCUGAUCCAGCAAUACCGCGUGAGUGAAGAAGGUCUUCGGAUCGUAAAGCCCUUUUGUUGGGAAAGAAAAGCAGCAGGUUAAUCCCCCGCUGUUCUGACGGUACCCAAACAAUAAGCCCCGGCUAACUUCGUG